UCUUAACAGAAUUCUGCUUCCUCUACUGCUUCACUUUGUACUGAUCAGAAAUGUUGAACAUGAUCCCCUGAACAAGAAAACAUCCUGUUUCUAUGGGAGAAACAUGAAAAUGAGAACAUUUUACCUACAAGAUCUCCUGUGCAGCUGGAAAAUAGGGCAUCAUUAUCUGUCAAGAAAACUGCCACAGACCUACAGACUGAGAAAAAAAUGCAGAAGGGUUACAUCAGGACAAUUUUACAUUUUGGAUGGCUGUACAGAAGAACAUCGUGAGUUGAAUAAGAAACUGCUGGAUCAUCUUCUCUCAGGAAAAGCUCGAUUGGGCUCAGGCUACUUCUCUGGAAGAAUAAGAACAGUCUCUGCCAAUCUAUGAAUUUGUACAACAUGAUGUAAGAAAACUUCAAAAGGAGUUCUGGUUGAUGGCACUUUUAGAACCACCAAGGCUGUGGAGGAAAACCGUUUUCUGGAAAGAGCACUCCCAGAGCUACUUGCAAAAUCAUUAAGUGCUUAGAUCAUAGAAUAGUUCUUAAACUCCAUCACAUGUUUUUCCCUCCAUUUUUGUUUCUUAAUUGUUAAUCUCCUGAACCUUUGAGUAGUCAUGAUAUCCCCUACAAUAGAAGAGAACUUUCCCAAAGGCUUUCUGAAGCUUCUGAGAACCUCUGCUAUAAAUUAUGGUUGUAUUCUCCACAGAAGGCUGAGAACCAUUUUGUGCAAAUAAUGGCACAGAAGCUCUUGCAUUUCUGCAGAGUUGCUGAAGGCUUCUUCCCCCUCCCCAGUUUGUCUACUGCUGUCAUUCUAAAAUCAACGGAGGCCAGGGCUCUUUGGGACUCCAUGCUUGUACUACCAAUGAAACAAUUGAUGGAGGGGAAGUGUAUCCUACAUGGUUUCAACACAAAGUAUUUCCGGAAAGCAGGAGCCUUUGGGAUGAGAGAGAGAACCUACAAGUGUAACUGGAAUAUGCACUACUCCUCCAGCUACUUGUCCAAGCUUACUACUGCACAGUAGGUAGCUGUGCAAAUGUUCUACACUGUGUCCCUGUUCUUCAUCUCUCUACAAGGCAGUUGCAUACUUGAAGGAAUAGAGCCCAGCGUGAAAAGGCAAUGAAAUAUCACUUAAGAAGUUGACCCUUGCUGAAAUGAAUCACCUCUGCAAAUCAGUGUGCUUCCCAAACCCUUAUUUUGUACUUUUGUAUUUUGAUCAGGUAUGCAAUCAAGAAAUUAUGAGUAAGGCAUUUUUGUCUUGCCAUAUGAUAGGAAUUACAUAUAUUUAAUUCUAUAUCUCUUUCCUACUCCUCUAACAAGUUUAAUUGCAUCAUCUUUCUUUUGUACUUCCAGAACUCUAAACUAGAAGAAUUUGUACAGCAAGGAUCUCAGCAAGAGUAUGUGGCCUAAAAAUGUAUUUUUAGAACACCUGUCUUAAUUUACGUAGCAGUAGACUGUGGAAUCUCAGGCUUUCAAUGGGGAGAAGAGGAAGAAUGCCUUCUCAUAUAUAGUUAUCUUAGCUGUUACAUUUAACUGAAAGUUUCUAUAUUAAAGAAUAAUAAUGUACUCCUAAUUUACAUUUUUCACAAUAAAAUUUUGAAACAUUCACAUCAUUGUAAAGGGUUAUUAGAAGGUUUUCACUAUUAUGAAAAAUAUUUCUUUUAUUCUUUUAUUAUUUUCUCUGCUGUCCUAAUUGCACUGAAUGACUGCCCGGGGCUGUGCAAAUUUAGUAAGUGAAGAUUGUCUUUUCUUGGUUGGUGUUAUGUUUUGAAUUGAACAGUUGCCAUUAUCCCCUGCCUAUGUGCUCUCAAGGUCUCUCAGUUUCAGGCUCAAGUAAAAUUGCACACGUAUCCAAAGCAGUCGUACACACCAGCUCCGGUCCUGGGAGCAGCCCAGAAGAAGGAACACAGCCUGUACAGCCUAAUUCAUCUACAUGUUGUCACAGCUAGACCUCCUGUGGAAGCUGUGCCGUCUUACCUGUCUUACUGUCACACAGCACUCCACUUCGUGCAGAACUAACGCCUCCCAAAGUGCUCUGGGGGCAGGCUGGAACUCCAGUGUGAAGUAGGAUGUGUGUCCACCUGGAAAGAGGUACACUUCAAAGCAUCUGUGGCCAUGCUUAUGUGCACAUCACAGCAAGUACACCCUGAAAGGAUUGUGGAGUAAGCAAAAAUCCAUAUUGGAACAGGUACAACUCAAAAUGUCAGCACUAGAACAUCCUGAAGCUCCAGUGGCCUCGGAAAAGUCUUUGUCAUAUGCACAGCCUGUUUGAAAAUGCAGUGAUUUGAAAGCAACGUCCUCUAACAACAAGGCAUCCUGAAAAUUGAACAUAUUUCAAAUUCUCCAGGAAAGGAAUUACUGGUGGAAAAAGACCAUUCAUUCCCUCUGAAGUUACAGCAAGGAACUGAAAAAGGAAACAUCUAUAUCUUGCUAAUUGUAUGUUUUAUGUAGGCAGCGUACAAUUUGCAUAGACAUUUGCUCUGAGCAAGAGAAAGUUUUGUGUUUAAUAUGACCCAUGCAUUUCUCCAUUAGACCUUCAUUUUUAUGGGAGAGUGCUUCAUCCAUUCUAAACAUAUCAAUUUCCUUUAUAAAUGAAAUUAUUUUUAUAACUCAAAAAAGGUAUUGUAUCUAUUUGUAGAAUAACCUGAAAGAUCUAUUGAAGAGAUGUUUUAAGAUCUCAGUUGUUGCACUCAACAAAGUGCUGAGUUGUUCUGGGGAGAGAGUUUUUAAAAUUUUUACCAAUUACAAAUCAAUACGGUUGCUCACCAAAGCACAUUCUUCUGUCUAUUUUCAGUGAAGCCAAACUUUUCGUAUAUAUCUAGCCAGCAACAAUGUAUUGUGCUGCAAAGGGCUGGGGCAAACACCUUUCAACUUUCAGUUUAAGCAUUAUUAAAAUUUUGCAUUACAUAAUGUUUGUCUCCUUUGCUCCUAAAAAUUACUUAUUUUUUCUUAUUUUCUCUUUUAUUUGAGAUACAAAAUACAUGGUAAAUUAAAAAUAUUUCUUUUGUACAUAGUGUCAGUAUUUAACUUGCUAGUCACAAAUAUCUAACUUCUCUUAUUGACUUUCACUGGAGAUUUUCACAGUUACAGCAUGAAUACAUAUAUUAAAGGGAUGACAGAUAUUACUACAUAGUCUCUGAAUAAGACAACAGAAGCUGACUUUGCACUAUACAGAGCAAGAUACCCAGUUUGUCUUGAUUCAGAGCAGGUCUCUGAAGAGACUUGGCAGUACUAGUUAGAUGGCUAAAGUGGGUCCUUGCUAGAAUAUCUGCAUAUCCUCAUUUUCCUUCAAGUUUAGAAUUUUGUUAGAGUAAAAAAGUACAAGUAAACUUUUGCUCUUCAACAUGUUAAACGCUUUUCUUCUAUAAUUAAUGUUACUUCUGAGUGGUAAUUAAUCUCAGAAAUAAUCUUGCAGUAGAGUUAGUUUAUUGUGUGCACUGCAGUUAGUUUAUUGUGGUGUUUAAAUACUAUGAGAAGAAGAAAGGGAGAAGUUGAAUCAGAGUAAAUAUUUCUCAUCUGUUUCUUGAAUGUGAGGAGCACCUAUUUCAUUCAAUGGAAUGUACAAUGAGACCCAUCUAACCCCAUCUCUGGUAAACAGGCAAUAACUUAAUCCAAUAAGCAGUGUUUCUUCUGGUUAUUCAUUGUUGUUCAGUUCUGAUGCCUGAAGAGUAAAAAUUCCCUUGUUUAUACUGUCUUCAUAUAUUCAACCUUGCCUACACCUGUCAUGCUUUAACCUUAGCCAGAGGCCAAGUCUCAUGCAGCCUCUGUCUCACUCCUCCACCCGUGAAACAGAAUUGGAAGGGUGAAAGGGAGAAAACCCAUGGGCUGACAUAAAGACAGAUUUAUAGGGAAUGCAAAAGCCGCACAUACAAGCCAAAUGAAAACAAGGAGUUAAUUCACUGCUUCCCAUGGGCAGACAGGCGUUCAGCCAUCUCCAGGGGAGCAGGGCCCCAUCAUGCCUAAGUUUUCAUAUCUCUAGCCAACAAAAACAUCUUAUGUUGCACAGCGAUGGGGCAAAUAGUUUUCCACUUCCGUUUUUAGCCUUAUUCAACUUUUGUAUUAUACCCUAUUUGUCUCCUUUGCUCCUAAAAAUUACGUGGGAAGUCAAAUGUCCCCCCUUCUCCUCUUCUCCUCACUUGAUAUACUUAGCAUGAUGUCAUAUAGUCUGGAAGACCUCUUUGAUUGGUUGUGGCCACCUGUCCAGGCUGUGUCCCCUUCCCAUGUCUCAUGCACUUUCAGUUUUCUCAUCAGUGUGGCAGGACACAAACCAGGAAAGGCCUUGGCUCUGCUCAGAGAAAGAGUCUGCUCAGAGAAAAUAAAAAUAUCUCUCUUAUCAUUAUUGGGUUCAGCACAAACCCAAAACAUACACUCACACUGGCCAGUGUGAAGAUAAUUUACUCUACUGCAGCCAAAACCAGCACAACAUGAGAGCUAAAAAUGAGAUAAUUGACUGUAAAGUCACAACUAAAUGGUCUGGGUGAAUAUUUUGUUUAUUUCUCUGUGAUAUUUCCAAAGUUUGAAGCAUGACUUUUAAAGCUCUGCAAUUUCUUGUAGAAGUCUGUAUCUGUUGCUCACCUUUAUUUUCAUUAUCUCUCAUUAUUUGCCUUUAAUUAAAACUUAUGUCAACAUCCACAAUGUUUCUGGCAACAUUCUGUACAGACAAGAAAGGAAAAGAAAUAAAGAGGAGAUUUUUGAAUUGUGAAAAACUUUCUUGGCUAACGGCAUAGCGUUAAAACAACCCACAUAAUCCAUGGUGGCUUAAAGAUAAUGGAUUUAUACCUUUGGACUACAUGGAGAAAUUGAACAGAAUAGCUAUUGUAGAAUAUAUUGGCUUUUAAUUACUAUGCCAAUCAAUAUAAACAUUUUAACUUCUUGUUCAGGUGGGUUUAAAGUUGUCUCUUAAUAUCUUAUAUUGCAAGGCUACUUCUGUAAAUUGAUCAAAAGUAUUAAAGGCUUUC
Non-coding RNA from Zonotrichia albicollis (white-throated sparrow), 4936 nucleotides. The record is from RefSeq and is a predicted model, not a curated record. NCBI's taxonomy places the organism in Eukaryota, Metazoa, Chordata, Aves, Passeriformes, Passerellidae.